AUUGAACGCUGGCGGCAGGCCUAAUACAUGCAAGUCGGACGGGAUUGAGGAGCUUGCUUCUCAUGAGAGUGGCGCACGGGUGCGUAACACGUAUGUAACCUACCUUAGUCGGGGGGAUAGCCUCUCGAAAGAGAGAUUAACACCGCAUAACAUUAUGAUAUGGCAUCAUAUUAUAAUCAAAUAUUUAUAGGACUAAGAUGGGCAUGCGGAACAUUAGCUAGUUGGUAAGGUAACGGCUUACCAAGGCUACGAUGUUUAGGGGAUCUGAGAGGAUUACCCCCCACACUGGUACUGAGACACGGACCAGACUCCUACGGGAGGCAGCAGUAAGGAAUAUUGGUCAAGGGACGCAAGUCUGAACCAGCCAUGCCGCGUGCAGGAAGACGGCCCUACGGGUUGUAAACUGCUUUUGUACCGGAAUAAACCUUUGUAUGUAUACGAAGCUGAAUGUACGGUAAGAAUAAGGAUCGGCUAACUCCGUGCCAGCCGCCGCCGUAA
Molecule: ribosomal RNA, 498 nt
Filed under: uncultured bacterium
Lineage: Bacteria
Description: partial 16S ribosomal RNA
Rfam family: Bacterial small subunit ribosomal RNA
Source: RNAcentral